This 253-nucleotide ribosomal RNA is filed under the name uncultured bacterium. RNAcentral's name for it is "partial 16S ribosomal RNA". It matches the Rfam family "Bacterial small subunit ribosomal RNA", at positions 524 to 776 of the family's 1533-position model. The record is from RNAcentral.
UACAGAGGGGGCAAGCGUUGUUCGGAAUUACUGGGCGUAAAGGGCGCGUAGGCGGCCUGCUAAGUCGAACGUGAAAUCCCUGGGCUCAACCCAGGAACUGCGUCCGAUACUGGUUGGCUCGAAUCCGGGAGAGGGAUGUGGAAUUCCAGGUGUAGCGGUGAAAUGCGUAGAUAUCUGGAGGAACACCGGUGGCGAAGGCGGCAUCCUGGACCGGCAUUGACGCUGAGGCGCGAAAGCCAGGGGAGCAAACGGG